CCUGUUUUGAUUUGAAAGGCUUCCUUACGGUGCUCAAUUGCGUCGUUAAAUGUUGGGCUUCCGAGGUCAGCUUCCGAAGGGCAAAAUGCGCAAUGGAAGCCUCGAACCUGAACCUUUUCGCUGGAAACGUGCACGCACAGGCAAGCAGAUCCUUGUCAGCAGCAUGGCACCAACGGCACCGUGACGCCAACUGCUUUUCUACCAUACCCGAAACCCCACGUGAUUAUCGGAGGAUUAUAAAAUUUCAAUUAAAAAUGGACCUGAAGGACCUGAAGGAUCUAUCCCUCCGUGGCAGCAACUAACAAGCGAGUGAGAGAGUCCCCCCCUAGCGCUUGACGUUGGCUUGCUUUGAUCCUGCCGGAGGGAUUUCGAUUGACACGCCCUCCGACACAGAGUCGUUGCCAUGUGGGCUCGCCGUGACGUGUUCCUGCUUCCUGCUCGGCUAAUCGUACGUAAUUUACGUGUCAUCCGCUACCACAGCGAUGAUAGAGUUGGAAAACCGUUUUCUAGCAGCUGACGUCGGGAGCGUUGAUUAAGUGGCAUAGAGAUGUUCCGAGGCAAGUUUUCAGUUUUUACAGCCUGCUAGAUCUGGUUAAUUGAGGCGGUACCGAACUCGAAGCAUGUUGCUGAUGGGUGAUGUAAACACUCAUAAUUUGGUUGUUUUUUGGUUUAUGUUGAAAUUAGACAGCUUCCACGGACCGUGGA
Molecule: long non-coding RNA, 705 nt
Organism: Anopheles merus
Lineage: Eukaryota; Metazoa; Arthropoda; Insecta; Diptera; Culicidae
Exons: 3
Source: RefSeq, a predicted model, not a curated record